This 1087-nucleotide long non-coding RNA is filed under the name Homo sapiens (human). Its description in RNAcentral is "HSALNT0104682". The record is from RNAcentral. Lineage: Eukaryota; Metazoa; Chordata; Mammalia; Primates; Hominidae.
GGGCAGAGUCGGGGCUGGGAGAUUAGAGAGCCCCUCCCAGGGCCUUUCCCUCCCGCCUGGCCUGGCUCCUGCUCUGGACUCCUUGAUGGAUGUUGAAGCCCACAGGGCUGCAGACUCCUCCUCCUUCCUGGGCACAGGCCAGGUCACCCCACUCCGGCCUGCCCACUCCUGCAGUCAUCUUUGUCUUCAGACCAAAUGCACAAGUACUUUGUUAAAGGUAUCCCAUCUGCAGCUCAAGCCUGCAGCCCCUCACCUUUUGGUGGCUCCUCAGGCCUCUAGGCCUUAUUCACCUUUCCCCUUUCCUGUGCCACUUCUCCUCUAGGGCGCCAGGCUGUCCUUGGCAUGGUCCGGAAGGCAAAGUACCGGGAGCUGCUCCUAUCAGAGCUCCUGGGCCGGCGGGUGCCUGUCGUGGUGCGGCUUGGCCUCACCUACCAUGUGCACGACCUCAUUGGGGCCCAGCUAGUGGACUGCAUCUCUACCACUUCAGGAACCCUCCUCCGCCUGCCAGAGACAUGAAGAUUCUGCUCAUCAUUGCUCAGCUCCUCAGAGUGGGCCGGGAGGGGACUAGAAGAGCUGCAUGAUGGUGGCUGAGACAGGGUCACCUUGGGAAGGCUUGGGAGCCAGGAUGAGUGUCGGGCUCUCGUGUGUGCAAAAGGUCAGAUGUGACUGCUGCUGUUUGCCUGGUUUCUGACCCAGUGGUGGGGUUUGAGCAAUGCUUCUCUGCCCUUCCAUGGAAAGUGGAACCAGAAAUGGUGCCAAGGCUGUGGCUGUUCCCUUUCGUGUAAAAUGGUGCUGUUAUUACUCUGUCUUGAAAUAGGAAGGUGGGAUUUCUGGGGAGGCUGGUGAAGGAGGGCAGGGUUCUUUUCUCUACGUGUCAUGUUAAAAUUGCCAAAUAAAGUACCUCUGCCUGUGAUAUUUUCUGGAUGUCCUUUAUUUACUGUGACGUGUGUUUGGGUGCCUUGUUUAGGGGUAGAGGUGAAGUCUGAGCUUUGCCUCAUUCAGAGAGGAAAGGGGUCAGGGGUUCACUCUGACGUUCAGGCCAUUCUCCCUGUGGAGUGGUGAGGGUGUACCUAAUCUCCUAAACCAC